This is an RNA transcript of Hypomesus transpacificus, 6260 nucleotides long. It is a transcript of the gene named SAGA complex associated factor 29, with no coding region annotated. The transcript has 2 exons. The record is from RefSeq and is a predicted model, not a curated record. Lineage: Eukaryota; Metazoa; Chordata; Actinopteri; Osmeriformes; Osmeridae.
AUUAAGCGACUUAAUGCUGCUAAGGCACGUAUGGAGGUCUAUGAUCAAGAUUCAGACUCUGACAUAAAGGAGCUGCUUCAAGCCUUUGAUCCCAAGAUAAAGAAAUCCCCACCUUGUUCAAAGAUGCCUUCGUCUCUGCAUUUAUCUCAAGCACAGCCUGCAAAGUCAGUCCAACCUGCAACAGAUAAACAUCAUGAGGACACCAUGCUUCUCAAAAAGCUCUAGCAGAGUCCAUCAGUGCAAGUCUUCUACCCAUACCAGAGCCAGUGGUGUUCAGCGGAGACCCACUAAGGUUCAGGGACUGGAAAAUGUCAUUUCUAACAUUGAUAGACAGAAAGGCAAUACAAGUAAAUGAGAAAUUAUAUUACUUGCGCAAGUAUGUUGGCGGUCCAGCAAAGACUGCCAUUGAGAGCUACUUCCUGUUAGGUCAGCUUACCAUGCAGCUUGGGGCAUUCUUGAAGAAAGAUAUGGAAGCCCGUUUGUGAUACCUAAAGCCUUCAGGGACAAGCUUAACUCAUGGCCAAAGAUAGGAUCAAAGGAAAGCUGUGUCUAGAAAUCCUUGGAGAUUGUAAUGAAAAUCAGAAGAUUCUUUUAAAGCUUCCUGAUUGGCUGACGUCAGGAUGAAAUCGAAGAGUUGUGGAAAUACAAGAAAAAACUGGAGCGUUUCCUACUUUCAGUGCGAUUGUGGAGUUUGUCACAAAGGAAGCCAAGAUAGCCUACAAUCCAGUGACAUCUCUGCAUGCCUUAAAAUUAAGUGAGGGUCACACAACAAGACCUUCAAAGACCAGGAGUAUUGGUGCAAAGGUGCUAGCAAGUAGCACUGGUGAGAAGGCAGAUGUGACAAAGUGCGUCUUUUGUGAGAAGCUAGGGCAUGACCUCCAUGUAUGCCGGAAAUUUAUGGAAAAGGUUGUUGCUGAACGAGUCAAGUUUAUACAGACCAAAAGGCUAUGCUUUGGAUGUUUGAAGACAGGCCACCACUCAAAGGCUUGUGAAAGCAGAAGUGUCUGUGAAACCUGUAAGAGGAAACAUCCAACUUGUCUACACAAGGACCGUGUUAAAGAAAGAAAAGAAGUACAAUCUAAGGAUUCAAAUGAAUGAGGGAAAUGGAAGCAACCAUUUAAGGAAGUGGACAAAACAAAGGAAAGUAAAGAUGUUCCAACUGAAGCAACAUCUAACAAGGUUACACAAGGUGUUAUGAGCACUCAUACUUCUACCAUCAUUCCAGUGUGGCUCUCCACAGUUAGUGAACCAGAUAGUGAAGUAUUGAUUUGUGCCCUUCUGGAUACCCAGAGUGAUACAACCUUCAUGCUCCAAGAAGUAGCAGAUGUUCUUAACACAGAAAAGAAACCAGCGCAACUGAAAUUGUCCACAAUGUCCUCAAGAAGUACAAUCAUACCAUGUCAAAGAUUGACUGGUCUGCAGGUGAGAGGGUUUUACUCUCCAAAGAAAAUCUCACUUCCUGUGACCUACUCAAGAGAUUUCAUCCCUGCUAACAAGGCACAUAUCCCUACACCCAAGACUGCAAGAGCAUGGUCUCAUUUGGAGCAUAUUGCAGAGAAGGAUUGCUCCCCAACAGACCUGUGACAUUGGCCUUCUUGUAGGUUACAAUUGUCCACAAGCACUCUUACCAAGAGAAGUAGUGUCUGGAGAAGAUGGUCAGCCAUUUGCUCAAAGAACAGAUCUCGGCUGGAGCAUAGUUGGCUCUAGCGAUCCCUGUUUUGACAAUGGUGAUGCUAUCGGACUAAGUAAUAGAAUUGUUGUCAAACAAGUGACACCAAGUUCUGGUCAAAGUCUUGCAAAUGAAGUACGAUACAUCUGUCAGAGUCAAAUUACAGAACUGGUCACACCACCAGAUGUACUCAAAAUGCUUGAGUCAGACUUCAAUGAAAGAUCAGUAGAGGAGCAUCACAUCUCGCAAGACGACCUGAGGUUUCUGCAAAUAAUGGAGGAUGGUUUUCGACAGAAGGAUGACAGUCAUUAUGAAAUGCCUCUGCCGUUCAGGAAAGACAAGCCACAAUUGCCAGACAAUAAGCAGUGCGCUAUUCAUCGUCUCAAAUGCUUGGAAAAACGACUUGAGAGAUGACCAAUACUACAAGGAUUAUGUAGCAUUCAUGACGGAAACAAUUAGUCGCGGAGAAGCUGAAAGGGUCCCAAUUGAUGAGCUAAACAACCAACCCUUGUGGUAUAUCCCACACCAUGGGGUGUAUCAUCCCCAGAAACCAACAAAGAUUCGGGUUGUCUUUGAUUGUUCAGCAAGGUUCCAAGAUAUGUCACUGAACGAUUACUUGUUAACUGGUCCUGAACUGACCAAUACCUUAGUUGGUGUCCUCUGCCGAUUUCGUAUGGCUCCAAUAGCUGUAAUGUGCGACAUUGAACGUAUGUUCCAUCAGUUUCACGUCAAGGCAGAGGAUCAAGACUUUCUUAGGUUCCUCUGGUGGGACGAAGGUAAUCUCGAGGCUCAACCUGCAGUGUACAGAAUGAAGGUGCACUUGUUUGGGGCCGCAUCAUCACCUGGCUGUGCCAACUUUGGCUUGAAGCACAUAGCAGCCCAAGGUCAAGAUCGCUUCAGUGAAGCUUCCAUGAAGUUCAUAGAAAGAAAUUUCAAUGUUGAUGACGGACUUACAAGUGUAUCAACUGUGGAUGAAGCAAUACAGCUGGUCAGAGAAGCGAGGCAACUAUGUUGUGCUGGCAAGUUGCGGUUGCACAAGUUCAUAUCUAACAGUCAGCAAGUUAUGGCAUCAAUUCCUAAGGAAGAAUGUGCUGAGAGGGCCAAUAACUUGGACAUGGAUUUGGGAGAAUCACACAUUGAGAGAGCCCUUGGAGUUCAAUGGUGUGUUACAUCAGACCAUUUCCAGUUCAGAGUAAUUGUCAAAGAACAGCCACUCUCUAGAAAAGGAAUUUUGUCAACAGUUGCUUCUAUUUAUGACCCACUUGGAUUUAUUGCUCCAUUUGUUCUUGUGGGGAAAAAAUUCUGCAACAGCUGAAAGAGUCGGAUGGGAUGACCCACUCCCUGAUCAUCUACGACCACAAUGGGAGUCUUGGCUUUUGGAGUUACCACAUUUGACUGACAUAAGAAUCCCGCGCUGCCAUGUUCCACAUACGUUUGGGAAGGUUCAACGGUAUGAACUCCAUCACUUUGCUGACGCAAGUGUAACAGGAUAUGGGGGAUGCACUUACCUCAGGGUGACCAGUGCAUCGGAUGAAGUUCAUUGUUCGUUGGUCGAGGGCAAGGCAAGGGUCACUCCCACAAAGGUCACCACAAUCCCAAGGCUUGAACUGACGGCAGCUGUUGUAGCAGUCCGAACAAGUGACUUGCUUAAGAAAGAAUUGGAGAUCAAGGAUCUAGAGGAAUACUUCUGGACAGACUCAAGAGUGGUACUUGGGUACAUUAAUAACGAGGCCAGACGUUUCCACGUGUUCGUGGCAAAUCGCAUACAGCGUAUCAAGCAAAGCACAGACCCUAAGCAAUGGAACCAUAUGAGCUUGGAAGACAAUCCAGCAGAUCAUGCUUCCAGAGGUCUUAUGGCUAAAGAGCUAAUCGCUUCCAAUUGGUUUACUGGUCCAACGUUUAUGUGGCAGAAUAAGAUUCAGAGUAGAGAUGCUAAGGUGGGAGAAGUUGACAUCGACGAUCCAGAGCUUCGGAAGGCCCAAGUCUUUAAGACUCAGGCCAAGGAAGAAUCACUGCUAAUUGACCGUAUCCAAAGGUUUUCAGAUUGGGGAAAAGCUGUAAAGGCUAUUGCUAGGAUCAAACGAUUUGCCAAGGAAAUCAAAGAUUUACAGCCAAAGACCUGUAAGGCAACAAGUCUGGAAGAAAGGAAAGAAGCCGAACUUACCAUCAUUCGAAUGGUGCAGGAAUACAUCUUUCCUGAAGAGAUCCAAAGCCUGCAACAAAAGGAAGAAGUACCAAAAACAAGACAAACAGAUAACAUAAAUUAAACCCAUUCUUGGACGAGCAUGGUGUUCUCAGGGUGGGUGGACGCUUGGAGCAUGCUGCAUUGCAUCCAGAUGUGAAACAUCCAGUCAUCUUGCCAAGGAAGAGUCAUGUGUCGGUCUUACUUAUCAAGCACUAUCAUGAAAAGAUACAACAUCAGGGUUGAGGUAUGACUCUGAAUGAGCUAAGAUAAAAUGGCGUCUGGAUUGUGGGUGGCAGCAGUGCAGUGUCCUCUUACAUCUAUAAGUGCACAAAAUGCAGAAAGUUCAGAAGAUCCGUUGAGAUACAAAGAAUGGCCAAUCUACCUCCAGAACGUUUGGAAGCAACACCACCGUUUGUUUAUUGCGGAAUGGAUUGCUUUGGGCUGUUCUAUGUAAAAGAAGGAAGGAAGGAGAUGAAGCGUUAUGGGUUAUUACUUACCUGUAUGUGCUCUCACGCGAUACACAUAGAAAUGCUGGAUGACCCAAGUACAAAUGCAUUCAUCAAUGCUCUACGUGCCUUCAUCGCAAUUCGUGGUCCAGUUCGUCAGCUUAGAUCCGUUCAAGUCACUAACUUUGUCGGUGCAAGGCAUGAGUUAACUGAAGCGUUGAAGGACAUGAAUCAAGAAUGUGUAAAGGAGUUAGGUUGCGAAUUUGUAAUGAACACCCCAGCAGCAAGCCACAUGGGUGGAGUCUGGGAAAGACAAAUUAGGACAAUUCGAAGCGUGUUGACAUCCAUUUUGGAUCAGUCAUCACGCAGACUUGACAGUUCAUCCUUACGAACUUACUUCUACGAAGUCAUGGCUAUAGUUAAUAGCAGGCCCCUUAACUACUGAACAUCUGAAUGAUCCUUCUGGACCACAGCCCCUUACACCGAAUCAUAUUUUGACAAUGAUGUCGUCAGUAAUCCUACCACCACCUGGGAAGUUUGUUAAGGAAGACAUUUACCUGCGAAAAAGAUGGCGCAGAGUUCAGUACCUGGCCAACGAAUUCUGGUUGCGAUGGAAAAGAGAAUAUCUGCUAAAUUUGCAACAAAGGCAGAAAUGGCAUGAGAAAUGCAGAAAUGCAAAGAUUGAUCAUGUAGUGAUAGUAAGAGAUGACACUGCACCAUGUAACCAGUGGAAAUUGGCAAGGGUUAUUGACGUUUAUCCUGGAGCAGAUGGACAUGUAAGAAAAGUGAAGUUGUUGAUUGGAGAUUCAACACUGGAUUCAAAGGGCAAGCGAACAAUCAGAAAGCCACUCCAAUUUGAAAGACCCAUUCAGAAGACAGUGACACUGCUUGAAGCAGACGGAUAGUCACGCUACGUGUCUUCACCUUACCUGGGGUCAGUUCUUAGUUAUAUUAUAAACUAAAUAGUUAAGGUUUAAUAAGUUUCUUAGAAGAUAAAAAAUGUUUGAUUUGAAGUACUUGAAGGAAAUCAGAAGUGAUUUGGUGGGAGUGUAACUGCCAGAGAGUUUUUGUGUUUAUUAUUUUAAUUAACACAUUUUCUUGAUAAUGUUAUUUUAUGCAUACUGUUGUGGAAAUUGGCAUGUGUUGCACUGGGGAAUUUAAUUGGUGACACACACUUGACCAAGCAGGUGGCAGCCAAGGCACUCCUGCGUAGCAUGCUCAUACAGCAUCUUAAGUGCUCAACGAUAGUUGGAAAUUUAAAGUUAAAAGAAAGCUAAGGCAUUUACAACAAGUUUAACCUAUUCCCUUUGGUUGUGCGGCCAAUGAGGUCCCAGAGGAAAUUGAGAUGGAGAGCUUCUGGACUGAAAUGGCUACCCGAAAACAUGAGGUAAGAAUUAUUAUUCACCAAGAAGACAGUGGAAAUACACUCUCACGCAUUGUGUUCCCCCCCUUUUGACCGUUGUAAAAGUAUGCUGUAGGUUGAUGCAGGGUCAGACUGGCCAUCGGGAGACUCGGGAGAUUUUCCGAACGGCCGGUCAAACAAACGGCCGCUACGGCCACGGCACUAUUCAAGAAAAAAUAGUUUACGCUUACUUGGUACGCUUACUUGAAUGGUAUUGAGGACGGCCUCAAUACCAUUCAACUGUUUAACUGGAGCGAUACAAAAUCCAAAGGGUGGGGGUAGGCAUUUCCCCCAUGUAAACUUGAACGGUGCACUUGUCCGUCCAUUUUACAGAUCUCGAUUGGUCAAAAAUCAAUAGUUUUUUGAGUACAGCCAAUUCGUUGGAGCUAUUUUAGCUAACAUCGUUGUUUCUUUAGCAAAGAAAUGGAAAGGAAAGGAAAAGGAGAAAAACAACGGGCACUGCAAGCAAAUGCUAGCCUGGUGCUAACCAGACCCUCGUACAGUUCAUUUGUACAGAGGGUCUGGGAUCUCUCCAUUGACAAACGUUAACUUCCUUGA